UGGACGCUAGCGGUGCGCCUAACACAUGCAAGUCGAGCGUGAUUAUUUUGUAGCUUGCUAUAAAAUAUGAAAGCGGCGAACGGGUGAGUAACACGUUGGUAUCUGCCCUUUGGUCAGGGAUAGCCAUCCGAAAGGAUGAUUAAUACCGGAUAGUCUCGAAAGAGUAAAGAUUUAUCGCCAGAGGAGGAACCUGCGGCCUAUCAGCUAGUUGGUGAGGUAAAAGCUCACCAAGGCUAUGACGGGUAGCUGAUCUGAGAGGAUGAUCAGCCACAAUGGAACUGAGACACGGUCCAUACUCCUACGGGAGGCAGCAGUGAGGAAUCUUCCACAAUGGGCGCAAGCCUGAUGGAGCGACGACCGCGUGAACGGAUGAAGAUCUAACGAUUGUAAACUCUUUUCUGAGGGAGCAUAAUGAGAGUACCUCAGGAAUAAGGGACGGCUAAAUACGUGCCAGCAGCCGCG
This 462-nucleotide ribosomal RNA is filed under the name uncultured Campylobacterota bacterium. Its description in RNAcentral is "bacterial SSU rRNA". It matches the Rfam family "Bacterial small subunit ribosomal RNA", at positions 30 to 519 of the family's 1533-position model. Lineage: Bacteria; Pseudomonadati; Campylobacterota. The record is from RNAcentral.